AUUGAACGCUGGCGGCAGGCCUAACACAUGCAAGUCGAGCGGAUGAAGGGAGCUUUCUCCUGGAUUCAGCGGCGGACGGGUGAGUAAUGCCUAGGAAUCUGCCUGGUAGUGGGGGAUAACGUCCGGAAACGGGCGCUAAUACCGCAUACGUCCUGAGGGAGAAAGUGGGGGAUCUUCGGACCUCACGCUAUCAGAUGAGCCUAGGUCGGAUUAGCCAGUUGGUGGGGUAAAGGCCUACCAAGGCGACGAUCCGUAACUGGUCUGAGAGGAUGAUCAGUCACACUGGAACUGAGACACGGUCCAGACUACUACGGGAGGCAGCAGUGGGGAAUAGUGGACAAUGGGCGAAAGCCUGAUCCAGCCAUGCCGCGUGUGUGAAGAAGGUCUUCGGAUUGUAAAGCACUUUAAGUUGGGAGGAAGGGCAGUAAGUUAAUACCUUGCUGUUUUGACGUUACCAACAGAAUAAGCACCGGCUAACUUCGUG
Molecule: ribosomal RNA, 484 nt
Filed under: uncultured bacterium
Lineage: Bacteria
Description: partial 16S ribosomal RNA
Rfam family: Bacterial small subunit ribosomal RNA
Source: RNAcentral